RNAcentral lists this ribosomal RNA (425 nucleotides) under uncultured bacterium. RNAcentral's name for it is "bacterial SSU rRNA". It matches the Rfam family "Bacterial small subunit ribosomal RNA", at positions 359 to 776 of the family's 1533-position model. The record is from RNAcentral.
GAAUAUUGGACAAUGGGCGAAAGCCUGAUCCAGCAAUGCCGCGUGUGUGAAGAAGGCCUGCGGGUUGUAAAGCACUUUCAGUAGAGAAGAAAAGCUCAACGAUAAUACCGUUGAGUCUUGACGUAACCUACCGAAGAAGCACCGGCCAACUCCGUGCCCGCAGCCGCGGUAAUACGGAGGGUGCGAGCGUUAAUCGGAAUUACUGGGCGUAAAGCGCGCGUAGGCGGUUUAGUAAGUCGGAUGUGAAAGCCCUGGGCUUAACCUGGGAACUGCAUUCGAAACUGCUUUACUCGAGUAUGGUAGAGGGAAGUGGAAUUUCCGGUGUAGCGGUGAAAUGCGUAGAUAUCGGAAGGAACACCAGUGGCGAAGGCGACUUCCUGGGCCAAUACUGACGCUGAGGCGCGAAAGCGUGGGGAGCAAACAGG